This 20762-nucleotide long non-coding RNA is filed under the name Panax ginseng (ginseng). Its description in RNAcentral is "long non-coding RNA (PGIN_LNC000193)". The stretch from base 1227 to 1329 matches the Rfam family "MIR6136 microRNA precursor family". The record is from RNAcentral. Lineage: Eukaryota; Viridiplantae; Streptophyta; Magnoliopsida; Apiales; Araliaceae.
UUGAAGUUGGCUAAGCCAUUUUACUGGAAAUUCAAGUAAUGAAGUGCUGAGUCAUUAAGGAUGUAAGUAGGAGGUGGCCUUUGAGCAUGUUAGUAGCUACCCACUAAGCAAAGGUAAUUACUUGAAAAUUUAAAAGGAAACCCAGGGUCAUGAAAUCAAGGACUCUGCUCUUUCCAUUCCAUUUUACAUCUGAUCCAAACAAACAGUCAUUCCCUUCCAUUUCGUUCCAAAAGAGAGAAGUAAAAGCAUUACUCAGCAAGCCUAUUAAGUAACCAUCAAGUAAAAACAGUAUGGGGCAAGGAAAGGUUUGUGAAAAGCAAGGCUUAAAAUCCUAUAAAGCUAAAGCAAAAUCAGUUCAGUUCUGGCUAUCAUUGCCCAUACUAUCUGACCACUUCCCGUCCUCUAACCUGCCGAAACUCCCUGCCCAGUCCUUGGCCAGUUCACUCAUUCCAUCCGUGUCCUGUCCAGGCUAUUUUAUGUGAUUAGAACAAAGAAUUAAAGCUAAGGAGGAGUUAUAUCAAGAUCAAAAUCAAGCUCACAAAAAGGUAUAUAUAUAUAUAUAUAUAUAUAUAUAUAUAUAUAUAUACACUUAUAUAUAUNNNNNNNNNNNNNNNNNNNNNNNNNNNNNNNNNNNNNNNNNNNNNNNNNNNNNNNNNNNNNNNNNNNNNNNNNNNNNNNNNNNNNNNNNNNNNNNNNNNNNNNNNNNNNNNNNNNNNNNNNNNNNNNNNNNNNNNNNNNNNNNNNNNNNNNNNNNNNNNNNNNNNNNNNNNNNNNNNNNNNNNNNNNNNNNNNNNNNAUGGCAAAAUUAGUCAUCACUAAGAGCCAUCAUAUAUACUAUUAUUUUGUGAUUGCUUAAAAAGUCCAUCACAAAUUACUAUCUUUUGUGAUUGUUUUUAAAAACUGUCACAAAAUUCCGUCACGUAUUCUUGUUUUUCUAGUAGUGACUCUUAGUUAAGUCAAACCCUUAUUCUGAUUAAUUAAACUCUAAACAUUUAUUGGUUAAGCCAAACUCUUAUUCUAAUUAGCUAAGCAUUCGUUACGGAUGUCGAUUUUCAGUUUUUAAUCUUGGUCAUUACUUCUUAUUUUCAAUGAUAUAGAUGAUGUAUGUCCGGUAAAGAUCUAUAACAAAUACAUGCUAUGGAUUAUUACAUACAUAUAUAUAUAUAUAUACGGUCCGGACCAAGUGCAUACCCCUUAUCUUACUUACCCGUGCUCACCCCCCUUUAGGCGACGGUUUCGGUCAUACAACCGUCGCCUAUACUUUUAGCGACGUUAUAUGUUGUCCGUCGUUAAAAGUAUAGGCGACGGUUGUAUGACCGAAACUGUCGCCUAAAGAGGGGUGAGCACGGGUGAGUAAGAUAAAUGGUAUGCACUUAAUCCUUGUUCUAUAUAUAUAUAUAUAUAUUAGUGUGUAUUAUGUUGUUUUAAAGUACAUGAAAAAAUUGAAUUGGUAAGUUAUAUGGCUUGACUUGAAAUUGAUAAAUAAAGCAAUGGGUAAUUGAUCAUGUGUAUUGAUCAAUUAUGGGAAUCGAAAUUCUCUAUAAUGAUUAUGUUAAAAUCAAAGAAAUUGAAAAUUUGAAAAGUUUGUAAACUAACUAGUGUAGUAACUAAUAGAGUAUUCAUGAAAUUUGUUAUGUAUUGAAUUGCCUUUAACUGAAAUAGAGCAAAGGAGUUAGGCUGGUUGUGUGGUGAUAUAAGGAAGCUAAAAUGGGCUAAUAGGACAAACAAAUGGCUAUGAAAAUUUCAUUUCAAAACAGCACAUAUAAGAUGUUUGAUAUAAAUCCUCUAUGAACUUUUAUCGUUAAAAAUCAAGAAUUUGAUGAAGCCGAAGCUAAGAUUACUUGUAUAAACCUUUUAUAUGAUUAGUUAAGGGUUUUGAGCAGAUUAAAUUGAAGAGUGAGUAAUUUUAAGCCAAAACAAAAAAUUUGAAAAUUUGUAUGUCAGGCUGAUUUGGGCUAACUAUUUCGGCUAGUUAGACUUGCUGGAAAAUUAUAAUUUUCUGGGGUCCUGUAAUAUGCAAUCCUAGCUAGCCAUAGCCUUCAAAAUGGACUAAUUUUGAGUUCAGAAGACUGAGUUAAGAUGUGCCAAAGUGGGUGCGUCGAAACUGUCCAACUCUGGAAAACAGAUUUGAAGCAGUCUCCUCCCACGAAUUUUCUGGAAUUUUGUGUUAGGAAUUUGAAAAUGUUUAAAGAAUAAAAGUUGUAGCCCCAGAAGUUAGCUUUGCUUGGGCUCAAGAAACGCUCAAAAAUGUUUUGAAACGAAGAAGUUAUGACUGUUUUAGCGAGAGUGGGUAAAGCUGGAAAAAAUUUAAAAACAGUUGCGACCAAACAUUUUUGGGGUUUGCUUUGGACUGCCUAUGAUGUCCAAAAUAGGUGGAUUGUAUUUUAUAAAUAUAGCUUAAUAUGGUGUCUAAAAUAUAUCCAAAAUUGGUUGUAAUCGAAGUUAUGAGCUAAAAGAUAAGAAAUUAUAAAGAAGCCAUUUAAACUCUCUAGAAAUUGAAGAUAGCAACUGAGUUUAGAAGGAAGUUUAAGCAAUAUAUUGACAAAAGGAGGAUUGAAUUCAGCCAUAACAAGCUCAAGACAUGAAUUGAAGCAAGCUUAGAGCAAGAGUUAAGUUAUGAUAUCAAUUAAGUAAGGUAAAUUAUACUUACUCAUCAAAUUUAUAGAAAUUGAAAUAAAGAUGGAAUUGAAUUGCUUUAUUGGUUGAGAAAUUGAUUUGGUUAAUGCUAUUGUAUGAGUUCUGAAGUGACAAGGGAAGAUUUUCAUGGAAAAAUCAUUGGCUAGAAUAUGUCUAAAAGGUUGUGAAUUCUGGGGUUUUAAACCAUGCAUUCAUGGUGUUUGUUAAAAUAUCUCAAUGAGACAAAUAUGUUAAAACAUGAGAAUUGGCCAGUGUUAUGAGUAAGAUAGCCUGCAUAUCUGUAUUAGAAGAUAACCUAACUUAUUUGUAUGUCUGGAAUAAAGCCCAAAGUGAAGUUCAUAAGUUUUUGUUAAACUUGAAUUUGGAUGAAAAAUGUGGUGACAGGGCAGUUUUGAGCCUCUAUAAGUACACCUUAAAGAAUCUGUUUGGGCCAUGUUAUAUUUUUAUAAAAUAUUAUGUAGUAACAUCUCAAACAUAUCCAAAAUUGAAAUCAUUCGGAUGUAUAGACUGCAUGAUAGAAAAUCACAAAGUAGCUACGAAAGUAACCAAAAUCUGGAAAUCUGUAGAAGCAGAAAAUUGGCCAAGUCUGAAACAGCUGUGCGUGGGCUGUUUCGGGUCACUGUUUCGAAGCCUUGCCAAACUCUUUCCAUAGAUGUUAUAUUUUUUAAAAAUACUACGUAGUAUGAGGUAGAACAUAUCCAAAAAUGGAUUCAAUUUGAUGUAUAUCGAGUAAGAUAAAAAUUCGUAAAACUAGCCCGAAGACCACAAAAUUCAAAAUUUCCAAAUUUUGUUUCUGCAGAAUCUGGGCAGUAGGCAGGCUGUCUGGGUUGUUUCGGCACGCCAAACCAUUUUGGUUCGCUUUCUGGACGUAACGUAAAAUUUUGAUAUGUUGCUUAAUUUUUCGUGUUGAAUCCAAAUAUGUAAUUGUUUCGUAGCAUUUUUCGGACAACCCAAAAAGUGUAAAAUUAAAAUGAGAAAGAAGUUUCCUUUAUUUUGUUAACUAUGAUGUAAGUUUAUGAUAUAAUUAGAUUGUGUAGUCCUAUGAUGAAUGUACUUGUUAACCUACGUUAGAUGUAAUAUCUCAGGCGUAGAAUGAAGAAACGAUUUCUAAGUUAAUAUGGAAAAUAUUAUUAAGUCUCAGAUGAAUUGAAGUCCCGAAUGGGAUUGAUGAGCAUAUUAUAACCGACUUGUAAUGAAUAGGUCGUGCGACAAUGGAUAGAAGUUAAAUCAUGAACGUUCGGUGGACGUAUAGUGACAAAUGCAAACUGAGGCAAGUUUUUCAGUUCUGUUAUGUUUGUGGAUUGAAUGUGGUUAUGUGCUAAAUUACAUAUCGUGCUCUAUGAAUUGUUAAAGUCAAAAUAUGACUAAGUUAAUUGGGUAUGGAACUCAAUUUAUAUGUGAUAUGUGAUAACACAUGUUGUAUGAUGUAAUGCGAUAAUUGGAAAUGUAUAAUGCAGGAAUUUAUGCAUUGCACGAAAUUAUUGAUGCAUGUAGGACAUGAAUAGUAAAGGAAAUAUAGUGCAUAUGAAAUUGUGUGCUAUGUGAAACAUGAUAGACUGUUAAAUUUAUUGGGCUGUCAAGCUCAAUCUUGCAAACACAAACUCUUUGCAGGUUAAUGAUGUUAAGCGAUAUUACUUGCUAUACAUAUGAUAAAGAUUGAACGAUGUGCAAAAUGAAUAUAUUUUCUUGAAUUAGAAAUAGUUUAAAUCUAUGAUUGAUUGUUUCGUCAAAUGUAAUUGGCAGUUAUGUAUAGUUUGAAAUGUUGAAUGGAUAAAGAAUGUUUAUUUUGAAAUGAGAAUAAAUAUGAUUCUGAAAUAAGUGAAUCAUCGAUAGAAAAGAUAUUAAGUAUUGAGACUUAAGUUUUUAAUACGUUUACACAGAUUAUACAAAUCAUAUAAUAAAUAUGAUUCUAGUAAAAAAAAAAAGAAUUGUAAAGGUUGCGAUUCAAGGAAUGAAUGAAUGGAAAAGAAAAAAAAAUUAUUCCAUAUUUUAGCUAUUUUAACAUUAAAUAAUGGUUUAAAGCUAGAACAAAAUAAUAUUAACGCACAAGAUCGGGAAGGAAAAUAGUCCUGAUUUUGGGGGCGUUACAAAAAUAACAUACGAAAUUGCAAAUGGAUUUUCACCUGUCAUACAGUACGUAAUCCGCGUAGACAGGUUAUUCCGACAUAUUAAAGGAUGAAUAUGAAAAAUAGUAUUCCUUAUGAAUACGAAAGAAAUAAUAUCUCUUACCAAACAAAAAUAACAUCCCUUACGAAUACAACAAAUAAUAUCUCUUACCAAACAAAAAUAACAUCCCUUACCAAACGAAAAAUAACAUCUCUUACCUUAGUAGAAGACUGGAUACUGCAAUAGUGAAGUAGCAUAAUACUCUUCUUCUUUCUCUCUAUAGUUUCUCUCUAUAGCUUCUCUUGUGAGUCUUCGUGAAUUGGUGAGAAUGAAAGAAGAAUUAAGCUUCUAUUUAUAGGAGAAUAGACUAAAUAGUAACUAAUUCAUAAACUGUCCAGAUUGAUUUACUUUUAGAAUGGACGAUCUAUAUUGAUUACUAUUAAAAUCACAACCGACGGUCCAGAUUGAUUACUUUUAAAACCACCACCGACGGUCAGGAUUGAUUUACUUUUAAAACAACCAUCGACGGUCCAGAUUGAUUUACUAUUAAAACCACCACCGACGGUCCAGAUUGAUUUACUAUUAAAACCACCAUCGACGGUCCAGAUUGAUUUACUAUUAAAACCACCAUCAACGGUCCAGAUUGAUUUAACUUAUUACACUUUAGUACCCCUAAAGUUUUUCAAGUUUGUAUUAUUCCCCUCUAACUUUUGUAAUUCACUUAUCUUCAAUAAACACAUUCUUAAUACUUUAACAGUUAUUCAUCAUUAAUAUUAUUACUAACAAUAUCGACAACCAGAUCAUUCCCAGGAAAGAGGGGGCUUUCUGAUAAGAAUUUCUUCUUAUUGGCGCGCAAUUAGGUGACCAAACCUCUUUCCUCGACAUAACUUUCUAGACAUUGUCAAAAAUAUAAAUAGUAAUAUAAAUAAAUGUAUUGUCUCAAUUAUUGAUUUAAUAAUAUAAAAUAUUAUGCAGAUGAUACUGUGACAAUAAUUGAAUCAAAAAACGUGAGAUACUAUAUGCAACAAUUACUGUACCAAUACUUGAGUAAACUGAGUGGCUUCUUACGUAAGCAUUAAUACCAUGUGCUACUAUGCAACCACGCGUAUUACUAUAUUUUUACCACCGGUUAUUUCAAAAGUUAACGGUAAAACUUUCGCUGUUAUUUUUAUAAAAGAUAUUUCUAUCGUUUUCUAACUAAGACAAUUAUUCUGUUGUGGGGUCCAUCAAUGAUAGUGUCGUCGAACGAAUAUUCCUUGACAAAAAGAAUAUUUUCCGACCAAACGAAUAUUCCCUAACACAACGAAUAUUUUAUAUCAACUUGCAUACUUUGAAAAAAAAUUAAAUAUCGCGUUCAACUUUAACCUUUUAUCAAUUUAACCAUUUAAUAAAUAGAAUAAUAAUUAUAAAAAAAUUCAAUACUUUCAUUUCAUAAAUUCGGGGUCUCACAAUACUGAACUGAAAAACUAAAUCUUUUUAUUCAUUGUUUAUUCUUAUUAGUUUAUUCUUGUUAAUUUAGUUAAUUAAUUCGAAAUCCCCUUUUCAUUAGAAAUCAUAGGAUAAAUAUAAAACAAAUCACUUUUUGUGGGAUCGAUCCUUUCUUACUACUUUGUUAAUUGUUUGAAUUUUUAAAGUGAAAGUGAGGUUAAUUUAGGAGUGUAAACGACAGCUCCCAAAUUUUGGCGACGUUGCCAGGGAAUAAUUUGGCAUUUUGUUUUUAUUCUAUUAUUUGUUUUUUUUGUUUAUAACUCAAUCUUCUCAGGCUACUACAUUAGAUUUUGACCUAAGAAUUUAGAAAACUACAAGGAGACUAACGAAGCAAAAUCAGAAAACUCAACAGUCUACUGCAGAUUUGGCCGUGGCUUCUGCAUCAUCACCAGGCCUCAAUAUAGCUUUGGAGCUACUUUCGAACGAAUCAUCCACCGAAUCCGAUAAGGAUGAAGAGAUGGGGGUUCCAAAUAACAACAGAACUCUCAGGGAGUUGGUAACUCCUAAUUUAAAUCAGCAACAUUUAUGUAUUAAAUAUCCUAAUUUAGAUGCUUCAUUUGAACUUAAAUUCGGAAAAAUCCCUUUACUGCCUACUUUUCGUGGCCUUAUAGGCAUGGACCCCUACAAACAUUUGAAGGAAUUCUAUGUGGUGUGCUCCACCAUGAGACCACUUGGGAUCACGGAAGAGCAAAUAAAGCUUAGAGUCUUUCCCUUCUCACUAGCAGAUCUGGAAAAGGAUUGGCUAUACUACUUGCGCUUAGGUUCGAUAUAAUCUUAGAAUGACAUGAAACAAUUGUUCCUAGAGAAAUACUUCCCAUCCUUGAGAUUAGCUAACAUCAGGAAGGAGAUCUGUGGGAUUAGAUAAUUCAGUGGAGAGACACUAUAUGAGUAUUGGGAGAGAUUCAAAAAGCUCUGCUCUAGCUUUCUACCACAUCAAAUAGAUGAACAACACCUUAUCCAGUAUUUCUACGAAGGGUUGGUACCAAUGGAUAAAAGCAUGAUCGACGUAACUAGUGGAGGAUCACUAGUUGAUAAGACCCUAGAGGCUGCGAGGAAUUUGAUUGCAAACAUGGCUGUAAACUCACAACAAUAUGGAACUAGAAUGAAUCAGGCACCAGUAAGGGUAAGCGAGGUGAGCACGUGUGAUCAUGGACAACAAAUUUUUGAACUAAAGACUAUGGUUAGACAAAUAGAUACAGGUCAAGUACCAGCUACAAAGUUUUGUGGGAUCUGUCUACAACCCAAUCACAAUAUAGGUGAAUGCCCAACAUUGCAGGAUAACGAGACUAACCAACAAGCCAAUGCCAUGGGAAAUUACCAAGCACCACAAAAGAAUUAUGAUCCCUAUUCAAACACAUACAACCCAGGAUGGAGUGUAAGAUCCCAACUUUUAUGAAUAAAGAUGAAUUUUCUAUAAAUAUCAUUUUUGAAUAGUAUGGAGUGAAUUUAAUAUAAUGUUAUAAUUGUGGGUAAUAUUUAUAAAUUUUGCAAAGUACGCAAGUUGUUAUAUUAUAUUCGAUUGGUCAGGGAAUAUUCGUUUUAACAGGGAAUAUUCGUACGAUGGCACAAUCAUUGGUGGACACCACAACGUAAUUAUUGUUGGAUUGAUAAAACGACAAAAAUAUCUUUUUAUAAAUAACGGCGGAAGUUUUACCGUUAACUGUUGAACUACCCGGUAGUAAAAGUACAGUAAUACGCGUGGUUGCAUAGUAGCACACGAUAUUGAUUAUUGAUGCUUACGUAAGAAGUCACUUAGUUUUGCUCAAUAAUUGUUACAAUAAUUACUGUUCAAUAUUUUAUUUUAUUGAUUCAAUAAUUGCUGCGUUGAUAUUUUAUAUUAUUGUUGUUUCAAUAAUUGUCACUGUACAGUAUUUUUCAUUAUCAAAUCAAUAAUUCAUAUUAUUUGAAUAAUAUUAUUAGAUAGCAUUAUUGGAAAUUCUAGAAAGUUCUAUCAAGGAGAAGUUUGGUCACCUAAUUGCGCGCAAGUAAGGAGAAAUCCUUAUCGGAAAGCCCCCUCUUUCCUGGGAACUGUCUGAUUAUCAUUAUUGUGAUUCUGUGAUAUUAUUUGUGAAUAAUUAAUUAUUGAUAAGGAAAUAUUUAUUCGAUGAGGAUAUAAAUGAUGAAUUUAUUUAUUUUAUGUGGUUAUAAAUGAAGGAAUUAAUGUUGAGAUAUUUUAUCAGUAUUUUAUCGUAUUAGAGGUAUUAAAAAAUCAAAUCGGUAUUCUUAAAGCUCUAUUGCGUAAGUUAUAAUUUUGAUCUGACUGUCGGAUCGUUGUGAUUUUUGGAUAUGUUAUACAUAUAUAAGUUGAGUAUAUGUCCACAAAUUUUGAACCGUUAAUAAUUAGCGUAUGAUUUGUUAUGAAUUUUAAGAGGUAUUGAAAAUCAUCAGUUUGUGGAUUUCGGAUAUUUUCUGUUUGGAAUUUGGAAAAACUUUUUCUGAAAAGUUGUAGAGAAUUCAAUUUCGUAUGGAAUAGACAUAAAAUUCGUAUUUUUCUGAUAAAAGGGCUAUUUAUUAUAAAUUACUGAAGUUUCGGAAAAUAAAAUAAUUUUUAUUAAAAUUAGGUCGGACCCACUUUUGGUUGUUGAGAAAGAUGGCUGUUCUUUGGUGGACCCCACUUGUGGUGGCAUAAAUUUUUUAAAAAUGCAUGCGUAGAAAAAAAAAAUUAAAUUAAUAUUUUAUUAAUUUAGUCUCCUUUGGCGUUUUAGCAUUUUCCUAUAAAUAGGGUGCUUAGUUAGAAUUGAAAAUCACACAAGAAUCAGAGAAUUAUUCUUCUAUAAUCUUGAGCGUAUUUCUUUAGAGUUUUAGAAAGCUAUGAGCGUAGGAAACUGUGAAAGUUUUCUUCAAGAAUAUCCCUGCUAUAUCAGUUGGAAUACUCUUCUUUUCAAGGUAAGGGAUGUUAUUUUUGUUAAAUAUUCUCUUGAAAUAAUAUUUUCUUCCAAACUCUGUAGUAUAUAAGUAAUAUUAUUUCAUUUUAGAUUUCAAAUUCUAUACUCGUUUUAUUAAAGUUUUGGCUUCUAUACUCCAUGAAAUUAGUAGAAUAUCCUUGAUAUUUGCGCUUCAUCCAGUAUCUUUUCAUGAAAAUAUUAUUCUGAGCAUUCUUGAUAAGUUUUAACUUUUUCAUGUCGGAGUAUUAUUCACGGGGUUACUAUUCCCGAAGUAUUAUUCACCUGGGAACUAUUCAUGAUAAAAAAUUGAUUCGUUUUCGGUCCAAAUUAUUUUUACAAUAUUAUUCUUAAAUUUUACUCUACAAAGCAUUAUCAUGUUGACAAUUUGGACGUUAUUGAUUUCUGGAUAAAUUAAAUUAUAAAUCUUUAAAAAUUUAUCCUUAAACUUGUUUUAUUGAAUUCUUAUAUCAUUGUCAUCAUCCUCAUGUUUAUAUUCUGUUGAAAGUCAUCUGUGGCCUGUAGUGCAUAGAUGGACUUGGUAUGGUUAUAACCAGGGAUUAUUCGGUAUAAUCAUGACCGUAAUGUUAUAAAUGAUGUGGUAAAAAGUCCUCAUUGGCCUGUAGUGCAUUGAUGGAAAGUUGUUGGCAUGAUCAUGACCAUGAAUACACGAAUAUCCUUGGCUCGUAGUGCAUGGAUAAUUUGUGGUCGUGAUACUAAAGAAUAUCCUUGGCCGUAGUGCAAGGGUGAUUCGAUGAUGUGGAUUAUUUAUUAAGCUGAGUCUCAGCGAUAAAAGUGAUGAAAAACCUUUUAAAUCAUAAAAGAUAGUAGAUUUUAUGGUCUACUUGACUCUUCUAAUGGAUUGCUUAUUCCGCUGCAGUUAAACUUGAUGUUUGUUAUAUUUUAUCAGUUUAACACUGUUGAAGGCUAACGAUAAAUUAUUCUGCUUUAUCUUAGUCAUAAUAUUUCUUAUUGGGCUAGUUGAGUUCACCCUUUUGCUUUCAUUGUUCUCUUCAGGAAAUGAGAACGUAGCCGGGACUAAUCGGGAAACGCAGUGACGGUCCAGAUGAUAGCAUUAGUAGUCAUCACUAUUCUAUGAAAUAGUGUGAUAAUAAAUGUAUUGAGGACUCCAUUUGAGUUGAAUACUGUCUAGUAGACAAUAUUCGUAUUAAAACUCUCAGUUUAUGUUUUGUCGUAUUUUACAAGACAGUUAUAUUAUUAAGUUGUAUUUGAAUUUUGUACCAUGUAUUUGGCGACUCAAGAUGGGUGAUGCAUACCUAUUUUGGGGGUGUCACAGUUGGUAUCAAAGCUUAGGGAUAUGAUCCCUGGCUGAGAUGUGAGAUAAAAAGUAGGAGUGGAGAGACGGAGAAUUCCUCCGCUAGUAUGACCUACCUAAAUUUAUUUGGUAUUUAAUUGGUCGGUCAGAGUAUAAGGAUAAUAUGUGACAUGUCAAUUAACCCUUGUUUUGGGGUAGUAUUUGAAAAUGACAUCUGAGAAUGUUGAGAAUAACAAUGGAGCACAGGAGACCGUUGAGUCUCCACAGAUCAACAAUCAGGAUAAUGUGCAUCAGGAAGAAAACAAUCCGCAUGCAAACAACAACGCUAACCAAAUGAUGAACGAUGGAAUGUUCAGAGGCUUUCUGUAAUUCAUGCAACAUCAGGCAAGAGAGACUCAUGUCCGAAAUACAGGUGGAAACACUGGCAACUCUCAGAUGGUCACUGCAAAAUAGUUCAAGGAGCUGGGACCACCGGAGUUUUUUGGAGAGCCAAAACCACUUAAGGCGGAGACGUGGAUAAAGCAUAUCAACAAGAUAUUUGAUGUCUUGGGAUGCUCCGAGGAGAAAAAGGUUCCCUUUUCUACCUUCAUGUUGCAGGCAGAGACAGAUUACUGGUGGGAAUCUGUAAAGCGUACUCAACCUGCCACACUGAAGAUGUCUUGGGAGAAGUUCCAAGAACUGUUCAAUGACAAGUACUUUCCUGAAAGUAUUCUUCACAUGAAAGAGGUAGAGUUCAUUAAACUGGGAAAAAAUAACAUGACCGUGUCGCAAUAUGAAGCCAAGUUUGCCGAGUUCUCCCUAUUUGCGUCCCAUUUGGUUGAUAAUGAGGAGAGAAUGACGCGAAAGUUUCUAAGAGGUUUGAAACCUAAGAUAUGUCAAUACCUUAUUGUGUUUGUAUUCAGAUGUUGUGAAUAAGGCUCAGUUAUAGGAGCGCGAUAAUGAGUCAACCCAACCAAGAGAGAGCAACCGACAAAAUGAUAAUACUAGUGGUAGCAGUCAUCGAAGCGGUAACAAGCGUGGAGGGAAUCAACAGCCCAGAAAUGGUAACCACUUCGGUGGUAAUCAUGGUCAAGACAAUAAGAGUGGACAUUUCAAGAAGAGGAGAUUCAACAAUGAUGGAAAGACAUCAGCACCAGCACCCAUUGUUAAGGAAGGAGAACGACCACUUAUCAUAUGCUUCAAAUGUGGAGGGGAGGGACACAUCAGUCCAAACUGCGCGAUGCCGUCCAAAGCAUGUUACAAUUAUGGAAGAGAAGGUCACCUAGCCCGAUUUUAUCGUUUACCGAAGACAAGUCCAGCUGGGAUGGAGGCACCAAAGGCCGUCCCAGAAAAGUCAAAACCUGUAGUGCAAGGGAGAGCGUUUGCCGUGACCUCCCAGAAAGCAAGAAACCCAAACGAGGUCAUCACGGGUAAGCUUAUCAUAAACUCUAGCGAAGUCUAUACCUUAUUUGAUACCGGUUCUACCCAUUCUUUUAUUUCUCCUACUUGCGCUCAACGUUUAAAUUUGACUCCGGAGAAAUUAGACUUUGACUUAUCUGUUGAAACUCCGUUGGGAGAAACCUUCAUUACAUCCACUGUUUAUAAGUCUUGUUUGGUUCAAAUCGGUACCCUCACAUUACCUGUCGAUCUUAUUUCAUUGAAAAUACUUGCAUUUGACGUAAUUCUAGGGAUUGAUUGGUUAACUACUCAUCAUGCAAAAAUUGAUUAUUUUCGUAAGGUUGUUAGCUUUCAUAUUCCUAACCAACCUAUUAUGCGAAUUCAAGCAACCAAACCAUUAAAAUCAAUCACUGUCAUCUCAAGCCAUAAAGCUAUUCGUUUAUUGAAAAACGGAUGUCAAGCUUUCUUAGCUCAUGUCAUGGAUUUAAACAAAAAUACGACAGUUCUGAAUGAUAUUUCUAUUGUUAAUAAAUUUCCUGACGUAUUCCCUGAAGAACUUCCUGGCCUAACCCCAGAGCAUGAAAUUGAAUUUUGUAUCGACCUUGAACCCGGUACAAUACCCAUUUCCAAAUUCCCAUAUCGAAUGGCUCCUAUUGAACUUUAGGAGUUAAAGACUCAAUUGCAGGAAUUGUUAGACAUCGAUUUCAUUCAUCCUAGUACGUCUCCUUGAAGUGCUCAUGUUCUAUUCGUGAAGAAGAAAGAUGGGAGUAUGCGACUGUAUUGAUUAUCGGGAGUUGAAUCAUGUCACCAUCAAAAAUAGGUACCCAUUGCCACGUAUUGAUGACCUGUUUAACCAGUUGCAAGGCGCCAAAUUCUUUUCAAAGAUCAAUCUUCGUUCCGGAUAUCAUCAGUUAAAGAUUAAAACCGAUGACAUUCCAAAGACAGCUUUCAGAACUCGGUACGGGCAUUAUGAAUUCCUAGUCAUAUCUUUUGGAUUGACUAAUGCUCCUGCUGCCUUCAUGGAUAUGAUGAACCGAGUAUUCAAGGAAUAUUUGGAUCACUUUGUGGUCAUCUUUAUUGAUGACACCCUCAUAUAUUCCAAAAGCUGUGACACCCCCAAAAUUAGGUAUACAUCACCCAUCUUGGGUCGCCACUUACAUGGUACAUAAAUCAAAUACAAACGUAAUUAUACAACUGUCGUGUAACAUACGACAAAACAUAACUGAGAAUUUUGAAACGAAUAUUGUCUUCUAGACAGUAUUUAAACACAAUGGAAUCCUCAUUACAUUUAUUAUCACACUAUUUCACAGAAUAGUGAGGACUACUAAUGCUAUCAUCUGGACUGUCACUCCGUUCCCUGACUCAUCACAGCUAUAUUCUCAUUUCCUGAAGAGAACAGUGAAAGAAAUGGUGAGCUCAACUAGCCCAGUAAGAAAUAUUAUGACUAAAGUAAUGCAGAAUAAAUUAUCCUUAGCCUUCAACAGUAUAACAACUGAUAGAAUAUAAUUGACAACAAGUUUUAGAUCAAAAACUGCAGCGAAAAUAAGCAAUCCAUUAAAAGAGUCAAGUAGAGAAUAAAAUCUACUAUCUUUUAAGAUUUAAAAGGUUUUUCAUCACUUUUAUCGCAGGGACUUAACUUAAUAAAUAAUCCACAUCAUCGAAUCACCCCUGCACUACGGCCAAGGAUAUUCUUUAGGGUCACGACCACAAAUUAUCCAUGCACUACGGGCCAAAGAUAAUCGUGUUUUCAUCAAUGGUCCUGAUUAUGCUAUAAAACAAUUCAUCUUUGCUCCCUUGGUCGAAGAGAAUCCAUAGCCAUAAUCAUACCAAAAAUUGUCCAUCAAUGCACUACGGGCCAAUGAGGACUUUUUCCACAUCAUUUGUAACAUUACGGUCAUGAUUAUACUGAAUAAUCCCUGGUCAUAAUCAUACCAAGUCCAUCUAUGCACUACAGGCCACAGAUGACUUUCAACAGAAUAUAAACAUGAGGAUGAUGAAAAUGAUAUAUAAAUUCAAUAAAACAAGUUCACGAAUUUAUUUGUCCAGGAACCAAUAGCGUUCUAAUUGUCAACAAGAUAUUGUUUUGUGCUGUAAAAUUCAAGAAUCAUCAGAAGAAUAUUUCCAUAAAAAGAUAUUGGAUGAAGCACAAAUAUUAAGAAUAUUCCACUAAUUUCAUGGAGUAUAGAAGUUAAAAUUUUAACCAACUGAGUAUAAUAACGAAUGGAAUAACAAAAGAAAUCACCAUGCAUGUGGUACUUCGUAUAGACAGGUUAUUCCAACAGAAUAAUAAUAACGGAACCAGGUCAGGUGAAAUUCACACCGACAGGAUGUUCCAACAGAAUAAUAAAUAGUUAAAACGGAACCAGGUCCGGCGUAUAGCACAGACAGGAUAUUCCAACAGAAUAACUGAAUAAUUAAAACGGAACUAGGUCCGGCGUAUAGCACAGAUAGGAUGUUCCAACAGAAUAGUAAAGACAAAAUAAUAGAAGAAUGUCACCAAGUAUAUGGUAGCCCGCUUAUACAGGUUAUUCCAACAGAAUAAAUAAGAAUGGAAUAACAUAAGAAUUUCACCAAGUAUAGGGUAUGCCGCGUAUACAGGUCAUGUAUAGGGUAUGCCACUUUUACAGGUUAUUCCAACAGAAUAAUAAAGAAUGGAAUAACAGAAGUUCUCUUCAUGAAUAUAAAAGAAUAAUAUCCCUUACGGGUACAACAAAUAAUAUCCCUUACCGUAAAAGAAACUGGUUAUAAGAGUAGGGAAGUAGCAGAAUACUUUUCUUCUUUCUCUCUAUAGUUUUCUCUCUCUAGAGUUUCAUUGAAUUCGUAAGGAAAUAAUGAAGGAAUGAGCUUCUAUUUAUAGAAGAAUAGACUGCAUAGUAACUAACUCAUGAACGGUCCAGAUUGAUUUACUUUAAUCUGACGGUCCAUAUUUAAAGCAAAAUUUUUUAAAUAAAAUAUAAUAUAUUCUAUUUAUAUAAAAAGAUUUUUACUAUGCAAACACUAUGCAUGCACUAUGAAAACACUAUGCAUAAUAGAAUAUAAUAUAUUCUAUUUAUAGAAUAACUUUAAUAAAGUAUUUUGUUUUAUAUAAAAAGAUGUUCUGUUUUAUUACAUUAAUAAUACGAAUAAAACAAAACAUCAUCAUCAUUAUAAUAAUUCAUAUUAUUAAUCGACAAUAAUUGAAUCAAACUGAGUGACUUCUCACAUAAACAUCAAUAAUCAAUACCGUGUACUGCUAUGCAACCACGCGUAUUACUGUACUUUUACUACCGAGUAGUUCAAUAGUUUUAACGGUAAAACUUUCGCCGUUAUUUUCAUAAAAAUAUUUUUGUCGUUUUCUCAAUCCGACAAUAAUUCCGUUGUGGGGUUUACCAAUGAUUGUACUAUCGUACGGAUAUUCCCGACAAAAAGAAUAUAUCCCGACCAAUCGAAUAUUAUAUAACAACUUGCUUACUUUGCAAAAUUUAUAAAUAUUACCCACAACUAUAACAUUAUAUCAAAUCCACACCAUAAUAUAAAAAAAAUUAUUUCGAGAAAAUUAAAUCUUUAUUCAUAAAAUCUGGGGUCUCACAAAAGCCGUGAAGAUCAUGAGCAACAUUUGAGGCUGAUACUCCAAAACCUUCGUGAAAACAAGCUUUAUGCCAAGUUAAAGAAAUGCGAGUUCUGGCUUGAAGAAGUAGCAUUCCUUGGGCACGCGGUAUCAAAUCAUGGCAUAUCUGUUGACCCGGCAAAGAUUGAAGCAAUUCAAAGCUGGGAGCAACCUAAAUCAGUGACCGAAGUACGUAGCUUUCUUGGCUUAGCUGGUUAUUAUCGGUAAUUCGUAGAAGGGUUUUCUCGAAUCGCUACUCCAUUAACUCAGCUGACUCGAAAAGAUAACAAAAUUCGGUUGGAGCGUGGAAUGUGAGAAGAGUUUUCAAGAACUCAAGAAGAGACUCAUUUCAGCACCUGUUCUGACAAUACCAUCUGGCUCGGAGGGAUUUGUCAUCUAUAGUGAUGGUUCGGGCAAAGGGUUAGGACGUGUUCUCAUGCAACAUGGGAAAGUCAUAGCUUAUGCCUCUCGGCAACUCAAAGAAUAUGAGAGGAAUUAUCCUACUCAUGAUCUAGAAUUGGCAGCUGUUGUCUUUGCACUAAAAAUUUGGAGGCAUUACUUGUAUUGGGAGAAAGUGGAGAUCUUUACGGAUUAUAAAAGCCUCAAAUAUUUCUUCACCUAAAAGGAACUCAACAUGCGACAACGAUGUUGGCUUGAACUGUUGAAAGAUUAUGAUCAUACCAUUCAAUACCAUUCUGGUAAAGCGAACAUAGUAGCUGACGCAUUGAGUAGAAGAUCAUAUGCAGGUAUGAGUGCGAUAUUGUCAACGCAAUGGCCCAUUUUGUAUGACUUGCAAAGGAUGGAGAUAGAGUUAAAGACUCCAGGGACCCAUGUGAUGAUAGUUAAUAUACGAGUAGAACUGACUUUAAUCGAUAAAGUUAAAGUUGCUCAAGCUAUAGACUUGUAGCUGAUGCGUAUGAGGAAGAAAGUGCAAGAAGGUGCUAUGCCGGAAGCAAGAAUCGAUGAAGAAGGAAUACUUCGAGUUAACUCCAAACUUUGUGUUCCUAACGACCCUAAUUUAAAGUAUAAAAUCAUGAUGGGCGCACAACACACCGUUUGCAAUCCAAUCUGGGAGUACCAAAAUAUAUCAUGAUCUUCGACAUACAUUUUGGUGGAGAAAUAUGAAGAGAGAGGUAGCGGAGUUUAUCUCAAGGUGUUUAACUUGUCAAUGAGUUAAGGCGGAGCAUCAAGUACCAAAAGGUCCAUUGCAACGACUUGAAAUUCCAAAAUGGAAGUGGGAGCACAUUACCAUGGAUUUCGUUACUGGUCUUCCCAAGGUUUCUCAAAGCAUAGAUGCAAUUUGGGUCAUUGUUGAUAGAUUUACCAAGUCUGCUCAUUUCUUACCUAUACGAGAAACUUAUACACUUGAACUUCUUGCUCGUAUGUACAUAAACGAGAUUGUAAGAUUGCAUGGUAUUCCAGUAUCCAUAGUUUCUGAUCGAGACCCAAGAUGCACUUCAAGAUUUUGGGUUAGUUUGCAAAAAGCUAUGGGCACGGAUUUACGAUUUAGUUCGGCUUAUCAUCCUCAAAUGGACGGGCAGUCAGAGAGGACUAUUCAAACUCUUGAAGAUCUAUUAAGAAUCUGUGUCCUUGACUUCAAGGGAAGUUGGGACAAGUUCUUACCAUUGGUGGAGUUUUCCUACAACAAAAGUUAUCAAGCAAGUAUUGACAUGUCUCCAUUCGAAGCGUUGUAUGGAAGAAAGUGUCGUUCUCCAGUAUGCUUGGAUGAGGUAGGUGAAGCAACGUUGUUGAGAUCGGAGUUGGUACAUAUGACUACGGAAAAGAUUUAAACGAUUCGACAACGUAUAAAAACCUCACAAGAUCGACAAAAGAGUUAUGUUGAUCUUCAUCGAAAGGACGUGGAAUUCUAUAUUGGAGAUCAUGUGUUAUUACGUGUUGCUCCAUGGAAAGAAGUUACGAGAUUUGGAAAGAGAGGAAAGCUCAAUCCUCGAUUCAUUGGCCCAUUUUUAAUCCUCGAACGAGUAGGAAUUGUGGCCUAUAGACUCGCCUUACCGCCAAGUAUGUCUCGUGUUCAUAACGUUUUUCACAUAUCUAUGUUACGUAAGUAUGUUAAAGACCCGAACCACAUUAUUAAGUUAGAACCAGACGAGAUAGAGGAAUAUUUAACAUAUGAAGAGUUACCUGUUAAAAUCUUGGAUAAGAAGGAGCAUAUUUUACGCUCCAAGGUUAUACCUCAAGUCAAAAUUUUGUGGAGAAACCACGAUGUUGAGGAAAUGACCUAGGAGUUAGAAUCUGAAAUAAAAUCAAGGUAUCCUUACCUCUUCGACAUACCAGGUACGUACCCUAAUUUUGAGGGCGAAAUUUCAUAAGAAGGGGAGAUUGUAAAACCCCAACUUUUAUGAAUAAAGAUGAAUUUUCUAUAAAUAUCAUUUUUAAAUAUUAUGGAGUGAAUUUAAUAUAAUGUUAUAGUUGUGGGUAAUAUUUAUAAAUUUUGCAAAGUACGCAAGUUGAUAUAUUAUAUUCGAUUGGUCAGGGAAUAUUCGUACGACGACAAAAUCAUUGGUGGACCCCACAACGUAAUUAUUUUUGGAUUGAGAAAACGACAAAAAUAUCUUUUUAUAAAUAACGGCGAAAGUUUUACCGUUAACUGUUGAACUAUCCGGUAGUAAAAGUACAGUAAUACGCGUGGUUGCAUAUUAGUACACGGUAUUGAUUAUUGAUGCUUACGUGAGAAGUCAUUCAGUUUUGCUCAAUAAUUGUUACAGUAAUUAAUGUUCAAUAUUUUAUUUUAUUGAUUCAAUAAUUGCUACGUUGAUAUUUUAUGUUAUUGUUUUUUCAAUAAUUAUCACUGCACAGUAUUUCUCAUUAUCAAAUAAAUAAUUUAUAUUAUUUGAAUAAUAUUAUUAGAUAACAUUAUUGGCAAUGUCUAGAAAGUUCUGUCAAUGAGAGAUUUGGUCACCUAAUUGCGCGUCAGUAAGGAAAAAUUCUUAUCGAAAAGCCCCCUCUUUCCUGGGAACUGCCUGGUUGUCAUUAUUGUGAUUCUGUGAUAUUUUUUGUGAGUAAUUAAUUAUUGAUAAGAAAAUAUUUAUUCGAUGCGGAUAUAAAUGAUGGAUUUAUAUAUUUUAUGUGGUUAUAAAUGAAGGAAUUAAUGUUGAGGUAUUUUAUCAGUAUUUUAUCGGAUUAGAGGUAUUAAAAAAUUAAAUCGGUAUUCUUAAAGCUCUAUUGCGUAAGAUAUAAUUUUGAUCCGACCGUCGGAUCAUUGUGAUUUUUGGAUAUAUUAUACAUAUAUAAGUUGAGUAUAUGUUCACAAAUUUUGAACCGUUAAAAAUUAGCGUAUGAUUUGUUAUGAAUUUUAAGAGGUAUUGAAAAUCAUCUGUUUGUGGAUUUCGGAUAUUUUUUGUUUGGAAUUUGGAAAAAUUUUCUUCUGCAAAGUUAUAGAGAAUUCAAUUUCGUAUGGAAUGGACAUAAAAUUCGUAUUUUUUUGAUAAAGGACUAUUUAUUAUGAAUUACUGAAAUUUCAAAAAAUAAAAUAAUUUUUAUUAAAAUUAGGUGGGACCCACUUUUGGUUGUUGGGAAAGAUGGCUGCUCUUUGGUGGGCCCCACUUGUGGUGGCUAAAUUUUUUAAAAAAAAGCAUGCGUAGAAAAAAAAAUUAAAAUAAUAUUUUAUUAAUUUAGUCUUCUUUGGCGUUCUAACAUUUUCGUAUAAAUAGGGUGUUUAGUUAGAAUUAAAAAUCACACAAGAAUCAGAGAAUUAUUCUUCUAUAAUCUUGAGCAUAUAUCUUUAGAGUUUUAGAAAGCUUUGAGCGUAGAAAAUAGUGAAAGUUUUCUUCAAGAAUAUCCCCGCUAUACCAGUUGGAAUACUCUUCUUUUCAAGGUAAGGGAUGUUAUUUUUGUUCAAUAUUCGCUUGAAAUAAUAUUUUCAUCCAUACUCUGUAGUAUGUAAGUAAUAUUAUUUCGUUUCAGAUUUCGAAUUCUAUACUCGUUUUGUUAAAGUUUUGGCUUCUAUACUCCAUGAAAUUAGUAAAAUAUCCUUGAUAUUUGCGCUUUAUCCAGUAUCUUUUCAUGAAAAUAUUAUUCUGAGCAUUCUUGAUAAGUUUUAACUUUUUUAUGUCGGAGUACUAUUCACGGGGUUACUAUUCUCGAAGUACUAUUCACCUGGGGUACUAUUCAUGAUAAAAUUGAUUCGUUUUCGGUCCAAAUUAUUUUUACAAUAUUAUUCUUGAAUUUUACUCUACAAAGCAGUAUCAUGUUGACAAUUUGGACGUUAUUGAUUUCUGGAUAAAUUAAAUUAUAAAUCUUUAAAAAUUUAUCCUUGAACUUNNNNNNNNNNNNNNNNNNNNNNNNNNNNNNNNNNNNNNNNNNNNNNNNNNNNNNNNNNNNNNNNNNNNNNNNNNNNNNNNNNNNNNNNNNNNNNNNNNNNNNNNNNNNNNNNNNNNNNNNNNNNNNNNNNNNNNNNNNNNNNNNNNNNNNNNNNNNNNNNNNNNNNNNNNNNNNNNNNNNNNNNNNNNNNNNNNNNNNNNNNNNNNNNNNNNNNNNNNNNNNNNNNNNNNNNNNNNNNNNNNNNNNNNNNNNNNNNNNNNNNNNNNNNNNNNNNNNNNNNNNNNNNNNNNNNNNNNNNNNNNNNNNNNNNNNNNNNNNNNNNNNNNNNNNNNNNNNNNNNNNNNNNNNNNNNNNNNNNNNNNNNNNNNNNNNNNNNNNNNNNNNNNNNNNNNNNNNNNNNNNNNNNNNNNNNNNNNNNNNNNNNNNNNNNNNNNNNNNNNNNNNNNNNNNNNNNNNNNNNNNNNNNNNNNNNNNNNNNNNUGGCCCGUAGUGCAUGGAUAAUUUGUGGUCGUGAUACUAAAGAAUAUCAUUGGCCGUAGUGCAGGGGUGAUUCGAUGAUGUGGAUUAUUUAUUAAGCUGAGUCUUAGCGAUAAAAGUGAUGAAAAACCUUUUAAAUCAUAAAAGAUAGUAGAUUUUAUGCUCUACUUGACUCUUCUAAUGGAUUGCUUAUUCCGCUGCAGUUAAACUUGAUGUUUGUUAUAUUUUAUCAGUUUAACACUGUUGAAGGCUAACGAUUCUGCUUUAUCUUAGUCAUAAUAUUUCUUACUGGGCUAGUUGAGUUCACCCUUUUGCUUUCGUUGUUCUCUUCAGGAAAUAAGAACGUAGCCGGGACUAGGCGGAGAACGGAGUGAUGGUCCAGAUGAUAGCAUUAAUAGUCCUCACUAUUCUAUGAAAUAGUGUGAUAAUAAAUGUAUUGAGGACUCCAUUUGAGUUGAAUACUGUCUAGUAGACAAUAUUCGUAUUAAAACUCUCAGUUUAUAUUUUGUCGUAUUUUACACGACAGUUGUAUUUGAAUUUUUUACCAUGUAUUUGUCGACUCAAGAUGGGCGAUGUAUACCUAUUUUGGGGGCGUCAUAGAGAGAUUAUAUAAACCUCAGUUAUGGAGGAAAUAAGCCACCAACAGAAGGAA